CGGCAGGCCUACACAUGCAACUCGAACGGUAGCACAGAGAGCUUGCUCUCGGGUGACGAGUGGCGGACGGGUGAGUAAUGUCUGGGAAACUGCCUGAUGGAGGGGGAUAACUACUGGAAACGGUAGCUAAUACCGCAUAACGUCGCAAGACCAAAGAGGGGGACCUUCGGGCCUCUUGCCAUCAGAUGUGCCCAGAUGGGAUUAGCUAGUAGGCGGGGUAAUGGCCCACCUAGGCGACGAUCCCUAGCUGGUCUGAGAGGAUGACCAGCCACACUGGAACUGAGACACGGUCCAGACUCCUACGGGAGGCAGCAGUGGGGAAUAUUGCACAAUGGGCGCAAGCCUGAUGCAGCCAUGCCGCGUGUGUGAAGAAGGCCUUCGGGUUGUAAAGCACUUUCAGCGGGGAGGAAGGCRGUMCGGUUAAUAACCGUGCUGAUUGACGUUACCCGCAGAAGAAGCACCGGCUAACUCCGUGCCAGCAGCCGCGGUAAUACGGAGGGUGCAAGCGUUAAUCGGAAUUACUGGGCGUAAAGCGCACGCAGGCGGUCUGUCAAGUCGGAUGUGAAAUCCCCGGGCUCAACCUGGGAACUGCAUUCGAAACUGGCAGGCUGGAGUCUCGUAGAGGGAGGUAGAAUUCCAGGUGUAGCGGUGAAAUGCGUAGAGAUCUGGAGGAAUACCGGUGGCGAAGGCGGCCUCCUGGACGAAGACUGACGCUCAG
This 718-nucleotide ribosomal RNA is filed under the name Enterobacter sp. ICBR 193. RNAcentral's name for it is "bacterial SSU rRNA". It matches the Rfam family "Bacterial small subunit ribosomal RNA", at positions 40 to 750 of the family's 1533-position model. Lineage: Bacteria; Pseudomonadati; Pseudomonadota; Gammaproteobacteria; Enterobacterales; Enterobacteriaceae. The record is from RNAcentral.